RNAcentral lists this ribosomal RNA (717 nucleotides) under Microtypus wesmaelii. RNAcentral's name for it is "SSU rRNA". It matches the Rfam family "Eukaryotic small subunit ribosomal RNA", at positions 482 to 1153 of the family's 1831-position model. Lineage: Eukaryota; Metazoa; Arthropoda; Insecta; Hymenoptera; Braconidae. The record is from RNAcentral.
GAUACGGGACUCAUCCGAGGCCCCGUAAUCGGAAUGAGUACACUUUAAAUCUUUUAACAAGGAUCCAUUGGAGGGCAAGUCUGGUGCCAGCAGCCGCGGUAAUUCCAGCUCCAAUAGCGUAUAUUAAAGUUGUUGCGGUUAAAAAGCUCGUAGUUGAAUCUGUGUGCCACGCUGUCGGUUCACCGCUCGCGGUGUUUAACUGGCAUGAUUGUGGGACGUCCUGCCGGUGGGCUUAGCUUUGGUAAAACAGAGCGGUCCAACUAAUAUCCCAUCGCGGUGCUCUUCAUUGAGUGUCGAGAUGGGCCGGUACGUUUACUUUGAACAAAUUAGAGUGCUUAAAGCAGGCUUGUUUUGCCUGAAUAUUGUGUGCAUGGAAUAAUAGAAUAGGACCUCGGUCUUAUUUUGUUGGUUUUCGGGACUCCGAGGUAAUGAUUAAUAGGGACAGAUGGGGGCAUUCGUAUUGCGACGUUAGAGGUGAAAUUCUUGGAUCGUCGCAAGACGGACAGAAGCGAAAGCAUUUGCCAAAAAUGUUUUCAUUAAUCAAGAACGAAAGUUAGAGGUUCGAAGGCGAUCAGAUACCGCCCUAGUUCUAACCAUAAACGAUGCCAGCUAGCGAUCCGCCGAAGUUCCUCCGAUGACUCGGCGGGCAGCUUCCGGGAAACCAAAGCUUUUGGGUUCCGGGGGAAGUAUGGUUGCAAAGCUGAAACUUAAAGGAAU